CGCGUAGGUGGUCCUAUGUGUCUACCGUGAAAGCACACGGCUCAACCGUGUCGGGUCGGUGGAAACUGUAGGACUUGAGGCUGGGAGGGGCUGGUGGAAUUCCCUGUGUAGCGGUGAAAUGCGUAGAGAUGGGGGAGAACACUCGUGGCGAAGGCGGCCAGCUGGACCAGUCCUGACACUGAGGCGCGACAGCGUGGGGAGCAAACAGGAUUAGAUACCCUGGUAGUCCACGCCGUAAACGAUGGGCACUAGGUGCCGGCGGUAUUAAUCCCGUCGGUGCCGGCGCUAACGCAGUAAGUGCCCCGCCUGGGGAGUACGGUCGCAAGGCUGAA
Molecule: ribosomal RNA, 332 nt
Filed under: uncultured Alteromonas sp.
Lineage: Bacteria; Pseudomonadati; Pseudomonadota; Gammaproteobacteria; Alteromonadales; Alteromonadaceae
Description: bacterial SSU rRNA
Rfam family: Bacterial small subunit ribosomal RNA
Source: RNAcentral